UGGUUACUAUUUUAGACUAUAAAAAUUUUGGUAGUUAUUAUUUAUUUUAUAAAAAUCAAAAUUUAAUUUUAAUUUUAUUUUAAAAUAAAAAUAAUUAAAUUUAUUUAUGGUUCAAUUUAGUUUUGAAUUUCGGGUUGGUCCAUUUCAAAAUAAACUACUUAACAUUUUUUCUCACAAGUACCUCCUCUCUUCUUUCUUACUCAAAAUUUUCUCUCAAAAUCUUAAAUUUUUAUUUCGAUUUCCGUUCCAAUAGUGAACAAAAUAUUUUGGAUGAUUAAUCAAUUAAUACAUUUUUCAUUCCAAAAUAAUCUAAUUAUAUUUUUCAUUUCUAUCCAACGGUGAACCAAACAUGCCUUUAAAGUGAUGCACAUUUUUGUG
RNAcentral lists this long non-coding RNA (378 nucleotides) under Ananas comosus (pineapple). RNAcentral describes it as "long non-coding RNA (ACOM_LNC025084)". The record is from RNAcentral. Lineage: Eukaryota; Viridiplantae; Streptophyta; Magnoliopsida; Poales; Bromeliaceae.